Molecule: long non-coding RNA, 1014 nt
Filed under: Heterocephalus glaber (naked mole-rat)
Lineage: Eukaryota; Metazoa; Chordata; Mammalia; Rodentia; Bathyergidae
Description: lncRNA (ENSHGLG00000034845.1)
Source: RNAcentral
GGCUAAAAAGAAUGAGUGUCAUGCCACGUUAACCAAGGGAACAAAAUUGUAAAUAUGGAGAGGAGAAACAGGUUUCCAAGUUUAUAUUGCUGCUAUCUUCUGGGGAUCAACUUCUGUUGUCACCAUAAUGUGUUAUGUUGAAGGGGCAGCCAGGGCUGUGGAGCGGCUGCUGGAGAGUCCCGUGAGAAUACCCAGGAAGCUCAGUGGCAGCGGAUGUUGGAUCAGCCUCACAAGUGAAAAUAAAUCCACAGCAUGCCAACUCUUGAAGUCCUCGAGAGCAACCAUGAAAUGAAUCAUUUUUAUAUUCUCAAUGACAAGUAUAUGAUUUUAAAGUUUAUAAAAGAAAAGAAUGAAUGAAUUAGAACUUUGAAAGAUCAUCUCUUGGAUGACCUACCAAGGUCCCGAGUCCCACAGAACAUGUCGAAUUAGCCCACUGGAGACAGGCAGGUGUGUGCACGCCCUACUGAGGUCCCAAGUCACACAGAAGAUGACAAAUCACCCCACUGCAGACCAGCAGGUCUGCCCAUGCCCUACUGAGGUCCUGAGUGACACGGAACACGCCGAAUCACCCUGCUGCAGACAGGUAGCCACCUGGUUCCACACUACUAAGAUGCAGAGGACACCAGACCACCAGACCAAGGUACUGAGUCCUGCUGCUCCCGGCCCAGAGGUAGGGGCUUCUGAGCCGUCAUCCCACUGCUCCUGGUCCGGGGAAGGGGCUUCCUGGUCACCAUCCCUCCCACUGCUCCAAGCCCAAAGGAAAGGGCUUUUGGGCCACCUUCUGACCCACUUCUCCUGGCCCAGAGGAAGGGGCUUCCAGCCCACCAUCCCUCCCACCACUCCGGGCCCAGAGGUAGGGGCUUCUGAGCCACCAUCCCACUGCUUCUGGUCCAGAGGAAGGGGCUUCCCAGGCACCAUCCCUCCUGCUGCUCCCAGCCCACAGGAAAGGGCUUUUGGGUCACCAUCCCUACCGCUGCUCCUGGCCCCUGUCCCACCACUCACAGCUCAGAGGAG